RNAcentral lists this ribosomal RNA (512 nucleotides) under uncultured bacterium. RNAcentral's name for it is "bacterial SSU rRNA". It matches the Rfam family "Bacterial small subunit ribosomal RNA", at positions 10 to 522 of the family's 1533-position model. The record is from RNAcentral.
ACUUUGAUUAUGGCUCGGGAUGAACGCUGGCGGCGUGCUUAACACAUGCAAGUCGAGCGAGAAGGCUAUGACAGAUUCUUCGGAUGAAGGAAUAGCUGGAAAGCGGCGGACGGGUGAGUAACGCGUGGGUAACCUGCCUUGUACAGAGGGAUAGCCACUGGAAACGGUGAUUAAUACCUCAUGAAACUUAAUUAUCGCAUGGUGAUUAAGUCAAAACUCAGGUGGUACAAGAUGGACCCGCGUCUGAUUAGCUAGUUGGUGGGGUAAAGGCCUACCAAGGCGACGAUCAGUAGCCGACCUGAGAGGGUGAUCGGCCACACUGGAACUGAGACACGGUCCAGACUCCUACGGGAGGCAGCAGUGGGGAAUAUUGCACAAUGGGCGAAAGCCUGAUGCAGCAACGCCGCGUGAGUGAAGAAGGCUUUCGGGUCGUAAAACUCUGUCCUAAGGGAAGAAUAAUGACGGUACCUUAGGAGGAAGCCCCGGCUAACUACGUGCCAGCAGCCGCGGUA